CCUUCCGCGUCUUCGUCCAUGUCCUGCUAUAACUGUCCUGCGUGGUCUGUAUCCCACUAUUUUUCUAAUACAGGGCUUCAUCAUAAAGAGAAAGCACUUCCACUCCACGCAUUCAACUCACAGUAAGCAGAGAAAAAAAGGUCAACAUCUGGACUUUGUCUUCUUUCCCUUACUAACCAUUACAGGAUUAUUUCAGAAGGUAGUCAGGCUGUAACUUGUAUUUAUUUUACUUUUAGCCGAUGGAAGGGAAACAGGAUCUGCGAUCAGUUGCAGGCCUUGGAAACUGCCUGGAGGCCUGGGAUUUCCCUCCAGGUGCUCUAGAGGUGACCCAGUCUUGCCUGCUACUGGAGCUCUGUAUGACAGUGGUCACAGGUUCCAGAUUUACCUGUGCUCAUUUCCUCCACCUGUAAAUGGAGAGUCACAAUUAUUGCUUAUUUCCAGAAGAAGACACAGAGAAAAUAACCUCAGAGUAUCUUAUGCCCAGUGAGAAGCACUGCUGCUGGUCAUACAAAGCAAUGGGCAUUGACUCAGUACCUAACCUUCUGUCCUAAAUGCAGGUGUUACAAUAAACAAAUGUUAGUCUUGAACGGUGGGUCAGUAUUACGGCAAACAGUAAAAAGUAGGCGGGGCUUGAAAAGAGCUCCCACUCUUUCUACAGUUAGGGAAGUUUGUAGAAAGAAAUGUUUCUGCAGGCUUGCUUUGGCAUUUAAUUACAUUAGCAUACAGCUGCUCCUGGAUGAAGCCGAGUGAAGAGAAUGCUGACCUGAUUCGGCCAUCCCCUCCCUACAUUCUCUGCUUUCCCUCCCUGGGGUAUCUUUGGAAUUAAACUCCAUAAUAAACCUGGUUCUGGUUUAGCUGCAAAACCAGCAGAAGGGUUGUAAAAUUAAAGAAUGCUGAGUUUUCAAUUCAGGGUUCAUUCAUUCAUUAAAAAAAAAAAAAUGUAUUGUGCCCCUGCCAUGUAUAUGGAAAAUUGAAAUGCAAACAUAAAUUAGGCCUUCCAGGGGUGGGGGACUACCAUUUUAGCGAUGACAAACUCAUUAAGCAACAAUUUCUGUGAUUAAAUUUUCAAUUACAAUUGUAAUAAGAGCCUGGAAGGAGAAGAACCAGGUGGUGUGAGAAGAUUGGAAUCCUGACUCAGUCUGUCCCAUCAAGGUGAACUUUCAGCUCAGUUCUGAAAGACAGGUAGGGUUUAGUGCGUGAGGGGGGUUGGGGUGCAUUUUAGGCAGAGGGAGCAGCAGGGUGUCCCUGUGCUGAGGCAGGAGGAACCUGGUGUAGCCAAGACAAAGAGCAGUGGCUGGGGUGCCCCAGAAGGCUCCCCAGUGAGCAACAAGACCCAUGGCCCAGGGUGUCCGCUGUUUUCCCCAGCAGGGCUGACUAUUACUGAGAGUGUUCCUCUCCAUUCAUUUACCGGACCCUUCCAUACUUAGCUCCAACCUGAUAUGUGAGUCCCACAAAAUCUGUGGCUUUCUAGGGGCCGUUAGCAGAUGAUACACCCAUUUCUCUAUUCCUGUCUGGAAGGUCCCUGUGCUGAGUCAUCUACUGCAGUAGCAGGCAAGGAGCAAGCAGGGGACAGAAAGCAUUCUCCUGUUGUUUGCUUUGGGAGAUUGCAAGCACCAUGGUGAAAACCUACCCUCAUUGUGACCUAAAGUGUUGAAUGAGGGAUUAACAAACGUGGCUACUACCCGGGUCGGAGGCCACUGCCUCUCUCAUCUUCACUGAGCAUUACAAAAGCAAACAACACUUAGCUUAUUAGGUGUGAUUUAAUUCACUCUGAAUUAAACCAGGAAGCAUUACUAAUCUGUCUUAAUGAAGCUGUGUUAGUCACAUGAUGAUGGUUAAAAAAAAGAAAAAGGCCAUUUGAGGGGACACUUCUCUAAACCUGGUACCAGGAAGCAAGAAAGGUCAUUUUCCACUCUCCUUCAGAAUGGUUUAAACUGGAAUGACAGUUGAGAGGAGACCCUAAGAGAGAUGUAGAAGGCUUUAAACAUGCAGUUGUAUGGACCAUUGCAGUUUGAGAGUUGUUAUGCUAUUAAUAGGAAGACAAGGCACCUUCCUCCUGAAUGAAGUUAGAUGCAGUCUCGUCAGGUUUAUGCUACACUUCUGACAGCUAGGUUUCCCACGCAUGAUAAAUAAUGAUACCUCUGGGGAACACAGGAAACUAGAUAAGGCUACUCAUUACUACAAAUUGGUCACGGACUGGGUAGUAUUAACCUCACAUUGCUUAUGUCUUUCUGACUGCUGCCGGUGGAAGUCUCACGCUCGCCACGAGUCAGACCAAAUAAUUAGCAGAUGUCACCAAUGCCAAUCUGCUGAUGUUUAAAAAUGGAAUGAGUGAAUCAGCAAACUCUUUAGGAAGGGAGAAGCCAAGGCUUGGAGAAACUAAGUGACUUUCAAACAGGAGCAUAUCUAAGAAACCAUGAAACAAACCCUUGAACCUGGCCUGUCCGAGCCCAGUGCUUCACAUACUCCUACUAGGUUAGUCUGCGGCACUGCUCCGUGGAAAGCUGGGGUUCCUGCUCCUCACCCUAACCCUUCAACGUGGCCUUCAUUGUCUCCUAGUCACAGACAAGAAACUCAGGAGUAAGAGAAGUUCAGUGCCUCGCCACAGUUCACAAAGGACUGAACAAGUUGGGAGACUUGCCCCAGGGCCCAGAGUUUCUGAUUUGCAAACUGGGAAAAGGAGGGUGCCUGUCUCUACAUUCUCAGGGUCACGCAGCUGGUGAGUGGCACAGCCAGAAGGCAACUCAGGGCUGAAUGUGGCUGGAGAAGAGUAACAACUGUGUUGACUGGCUUCACUUUACAUUCCUGACCCUUAAUCUCAAGUGGGCACUUCACACUGCCCGGCACUCAUACCGGGACUCUAACUCAGUCAUCCUCUUACUGAUGGAGAGUUCUCCAGAGAAACAGUACCAGUAGGAUUUGUAUGGAUAUAGAGGAAAAGAUUUAUUAUGAGUGGUUGGCUUACACAAUUAUGGAGCUUAAAUAGUUCCUUGGUCUGCCAUCUGCAAGCUGGAGGCCCAGGGAAGCUGGUGGUGUAAGCCCAGUCCAAGCCCAAAGGCCUGAGAACCAGAGGAAUCAAUGGUGUAAAUCCCAGUCUGAGUCUGAAGGUCCAAGAACCAGGAGCUCUGAUUCCUGAGACAAGAGAAGAUGGAUGGCCCAGCUCAAGCAAAGAGAAAGCAAAUUUACCCUUCCUCUGCCAUUUUGUUUUAUUCAGGCCCUCAUUGGAUUGGAUGAUGCCCACUCACACUGAUGUGGGUGAUCUUUACUGAGUCUACGGAUUCAAAUGCUAAUCUUUUCUGGAGACAUCCUCACAGACACACACCCCAAAUUAACAUUUUAUCAUCUAUCUGGAUAUCCCUUAGCCCAGUCAAAUUAACACAUAAAAUUAACCAUCUCUCUCUCUCUCUAGAUAUAGAUACAGAUACUCAUAUUUGUUUGUUUCUGGGCUUUUAUCAUGUUCCACUGGUUUUGUCAGUGUUUGUGAAAAUAUCGUUUUGUUUUUAUUACUAUAGGUUUAUGGUAACUCUGUUCUUCUUUGACAUUGGAAUUAGCUUUUCUUUCAUUCUUUCUUUUUUUUUAAUUUAUGUCAGGGAGAGAGAGAGAGCACAAGCACGGGGAGGGGCAGGCAGAGAGGGAAGCAGGCUCCCCGCUCAGCAGGGAGCCCGAUGCAGGAUUGUCCCAGGACUGUGGGAUCAUGACCUAAAUGGAAGGCAGAUGCUUAACCAACUGAGCCACCCAGGUGCCCUGGAAUUAGCUUUUCUUGUCCCUUUGCUGUUUCAUAUACAUUUUAGAAUCUGUUUCUUGAGGUCCAUGAAAAAUUUUGCCAGCAUUUGGGUUGAAAUUACAUUGAACAGAUUUAUUAACUUAGGGAGAAUUAACAUCCUUAUUACAUUCAAAUUUCGUGUGCGUGAAAUGGAAUUUCUCUGUUUAUUUAGGUCUCCUUUAAUACUGUUUAAU
Molecule: long non-coding RNA, 3957 nt
Organism: Mirounga angustirostris (Northern elephant seal)
Lineage: Eukaryota; Metazoa; Chordata; Mammalia; Carnivora; Phocidae
Exons: 6
Source: RefSeq, a predicted model, not a curated record